Molecule: ribosomal RNA, 425 nt
Filed under: uncultured bacterium
Lineage: Bacteria
Description: partial 16S ribosomal RNA
Rfam family: Bacterial small subunit ribosomal RNA
Source: RNAcentral
GUGGGGAAUCUUAGACAAUGGGGGAAACCCUGAUCUAGCCAUGCCGCGUGAUCGAUGAAGGCCUUAGGGUUGUAAAGAUCUUUCAGGUGGGAAGAUAAUGACUGUACCACCAGAAGAAGCCCCGGCUAACUCCGUGCCAGCAGCCGCGGUAAUACGGAGGGGGCUAGCGUUGUUCGGAAUUACUGGGCGUAAAGCGCACGUAGGCGGAUGGGAAAGUUGGGGGUGAAAUCCCGGGGCUCAACCCCGGAACUGCCUUCAAAACUCCCAGUCUUGAGUUCGAGAGAGGUGAGUGGAAUUCCGAGUGUAGAGGUGAAAUUCGUAGAUAUUCGGAGGAACACCAGUGGCGAAGGCGGCUCACUGGCUCGAUACUGACGCUGAGGUGCGAAAGCGUGGGGAGCAAACAGGAUUAGAUACCCCUGUAGUCC